AUUAAAGUUGUUGCGGUUAAAAAGCUCGUAGUUGGAUCUCGGUUUCACUCAGGUGGUACACCUUGCGGUGUUCACUAUCUGGGUGGACGUUUCUGUUGGUUCGCUCUUGGUGCUCUUCAUCGGGUGCCAUUUGGUGGCCAGCACGUUUACUUUGAAAAAAUUGGAGUGCUCAAAGCAGGCGUUACAGCCUGAACAUUAGUGCAUGGAAUAAUGGAAUAGGAUCUCGAUUCUAUUUCGUUGGCUUUCGGAGUCGAGGUAAUGAUUAAUAGGGACAGACGGGGGCAUUCGUACUGCGACGUUAGAGGUGAAAUUCUUGGAUCGUCGCAAGACGAACUACUGCGAAAGCAUUUGCCAAGAAUGUUUUCAUUAAUCAAGAACGAAAGUUAGAGGUUCGAAGGCGAUCAGAUACCGCCCUAGUUCUAACCAUAAACGAUGCCAACCGGCGAUCCGUCGUCGUUAAUUGAAUGACUCGACGGGCAGCCUCCGGGAAACCAGAGUGUUUGGGUUCCGGGGGAAGUAUGGUUGCAAAGCUGAAACUUAAAGGAAUUGACGGAAGGGCACCACCAGGAGUGGAGCCUGCGGCUUAAUUUGACCCAACACGGGAAAUCUCACCAGGCCCGGACACCGGAAGGAUUGACAGAUUGAGAGCUCUUUCUUGAUUCGGUGGGUGGUGGUGCAUGGCCGUUCUUAGUUGGUGGAGCGAUUUGUCUGGUUAAUUCCGAUAACGAACGAGACUCUGGCCUACUAACUAGAAGGUCUAUCCUUUAUGGGUAGGCCUCUGCUUCUUAGAGGGACGGGCGGCGUUUAGCCGCACGAGAAUGAGCAAUAACUGGUCUGUGAUGCCCUUAGAUGUUCUGGGCUGCACGCGCGCUACACUGAAGGAAUCAGCAUGUUCUCCCCUCCCUGAAAAGGGCGGGUAACCCGUUGAAACUCCUUCGUGAUGGGGAUUGGAGAUUGUAAUUAUUCUCCAUGAACGAGGAAUUCCCAGUAGGCGCGAGUCAUCAGCUUGCGUCGAUUACGUCCCUGCCCUUUGUACACACCGCCCGUCGCUACUACCGAUCGAGUGAUUUAGUGAGGACUUCGGACUGGUCUUCAAGUUGGCUUCGGUCGGCUCGAAGUUCCGGAAAGAUGCCCAAACUUGAUCACUUAGAGGAAGUAAAAGUCGUAACAAGGUUUCCGUAGGUGAACCUGCGGAAG
RNAcentral lists this ribosomal RNA (1197 nucleotides) under metagenome. RNAcentral's name for it is "SSU rRNA". It matches the Rfam family "Eukaryotic small subunit ribosomal RNA", at positions 603 to 1823 of the family's 1831-position model. The record is from RNAcentral.